GCUCAUGACGAACGCUGGCGGCGCGCCUAACACAUGCAAGUCGAACGAGCGAGAGAGAGCUUGCUUUCUCGAGCGAGUGGCGAACGGGUGAGUAACGCGUGAGGAACCUGCCUCAAAGAGGGGGACAACAGUUGGAAACGACUGGUAAUACCGCAUAAGCCCACAGCUCGGCAUCGAGCAGAGGGAAAAGGAGCAAUCCGCUUUGAGAUGGCCUCGCGUCCGAUUAGCUGGUUGGUGAGGUAAUGGCCCACCAAGGCGACGAUCGGUAGCCGGACUGAGAGGUUGAACGGCCACAUUGGGACUGAGACACGGCCCAGACUCCUACGGGAGGCAGCAGUGGGGAAUAUUGCACAAUGGGGGAAACCCUGAUGCAGCGACGCCGCGUGGAGGAAGAAGGUCUUCGGAUUGUAAACUCCUGUUGUUGAGGAAGAUAAUGACGGUACUCAACAAGGAAGUGACGGCUAACUACGUGCCAGCAGCCGCGGUAAAACGUAUGUCACAAGCGUUGUCCGGAAUGACUGGGUGUAAAGGGAGCGCAUGCGGGAACACAAGUUGGAAGUGAAAUCUAUGGGCUCAACCCAUAACUGCUUUCAAAAGUGUCCCUCUUGAGUAGUGCAGAGGUACGCGGAAUUCCCGGUGUAGCGGUGGAAUGCGUAGAUAUCGGGAGGAACACCAGUGGCGAAGGCGGCCUACUGGGCACCAACUGACGCUGAGGCUCGAAAGUGUGGGUAGCAAACAGGAUUAGAUACCCUGGUAGUCCACACCGUAAACGAUGAUUACUAGGUGUUGGAGGAUUGACCCCUUCAGUGCCGCAGUUAACACAAUAAGUAAUCCACCUGGGGAGUACGACCGCAAGGUUGGAACUCAAAGGAAUUGACGGGGGCCCGCACAAGCAGUGGAGUAUGUGGUUUAAUUCGACGCAACGCGAAGAACCUUACCAAGUCUUGACAUCCUGCGACGCACAUAGAAAUAUGUGUUUCCUUCGGGACGCAGAGACAGGUGGUGCAUGGUUGUCGUCAGCUCGUGUCGUGAGAUGUUGGGUUAAGUCCCGCAACGAGCGCAACCCUUACUGUCAGUUACUACGCAAGAGGACUCUGGCAGGACUGCCGUUGACAAAACGGAGGAAGGUGGGGAUGACGUCAAAUCAUCAUGCCCUUUAUGACUUGGGCUACACACGUACUACAAUGGCGUUAAACAAAGAGAAGCAAGACCGCGAGGUGGAGCAAAACUCAGAAACAACGUCCCAGUUCGGACUGCAGGCUGCAACUCGCCUGCACGAAGUCGGAAUUGCUAGUAAUCGUGGAUCAGCAUGCCACGGUGAAUACGUUCCCGGGCCUGUACACACCGCCCGUCA
This 1354-nucleotide ribosomal RNA is filed under the name uncultured bacterium. RNAcentral describes it as "16S ribosomal RNA". It matches the Rfam family "Bacterial small subunit ribosomal RNA", at positions 22 to 1399 of the family's 1533-position model. The record is from RNAcentral.